UUAGACUGUCCGAGGUCUUCAGGAAAAUGGCUGCCAGAUGAAGACAACCGGAUUAGGGCACUGCUGACUGAGGUGGUAGAGGAGGGGCAGAGCCAAUGCUGUUCUCUGCUGCUGAUACAGCGCCACCGAGACCAUCCGCACUUUUGCCUCCCUGGAAACUGCUGGAACAGCUUCCUACUGGGACCACUGUUUCUCCUAUCUUUCAAACCGACACACCUGCUGCUCGGGUUCGGGUUUCAGGCUGCCAGAGGACUACUGGAGAGUUGCUACACUCUUUCAAUGCGCAAAACAGUGUUGUGCCUGCAGCGCAACACUAAUAGACUUGUAUGGACACAAUGUAACCAAAUCCCUCAGUGCGCUGCUAGUGCCAUGGACUUGAUUUGUUUUUGCGAGUAAGUUCUCCAGGAGAAGAAAGAUAAUAACAAACCCAUCAAAGAAUAGAUUCUCCAAUGCAAAAGCCGGUUGAAUGGGAAUUCUUUUUUAACCUAAGACCUAAGUGUUUUUGCACCAUAGUAAAUAUAAAGCAAGAAUAAAAAAAUACAAAAAGUGUCCAUAACCUUUAAACCUUUCAACAAGCUU
Molecule: long non-coding RNA, 579 nt
Organism: Hyla sarda
Lineage: Eukaryota; Metazoa; Chordata; Amphibia; Anura; Hylidae
Exons: 3
Source: RefSeq, a predicted model, not a curated record